UACAGGGGGGGCAAGCGUUGUUCGGAAUUACUGGGCGUAAAGGGUCUGUAGGUGGCCAACUAAGUCGGAUGUGAAAUCCCUAGGCUUAACCUGGGAACUGCAUCCGAUACUGGAUGGCUUGAAUCCGGGAGAGGGAUGCAGAAUUCCAGGUGUAGCGGUGAAAUGCGUAGAUAUCUGGAGGAAUACCGGUGGCGAAGGCGGCAUCCUGGACCGACAUUGACGCUGAUGAGCGAAAGCCAGGGGAGCAAACGGG
RNAcentral lists this ribosomal RNA (253 nucleotides) under uncultured bacterium. RNAcentral's name for it is "partial 16S ribosomal RNA". It matches the Rfam family "Bacterial small subunit ribosomal RNA", at positions 524 to 776 of the family's 1533-position model. The record is from RNAcentral.